This is a non-coding RNA of Vigna umbellata (rice bean), 446 nucleotides long. NCBI's taxonomy places the organism in Eukaryota, Viridiplantae, Streptophyta, Magnoliopsida, Fabales, Fabaceae. The record is from RefSeq and is a predicted model, not a curated record.
AGUUAAUACAAAUUUGAAUUGUUUGUUUGUUUAGAGAAGGGAUAUUUUUGGUUCUUGGGAGCAAUAUCUUGGUCUGGAACACACUGUCAAUGCUCCAAAAAGGUCUUACGCAGUUAACCAGGUUCCAGCUGUCUACAACGAUCAUUUCUCAAAUAUCCAGAACCGUCACGCAAUUGAGAAGCCUGUAAAAAUCUACAACUAAUCAAUCUAUGAAUCAGUAUAUAACACCUUAUGGCAGUGACACUUACAGUUUUAUGAAGUGAUGACAGAAGUGUAGAUUCAAUCUUUGUCAAUUUGUAGCUUCAUCAUUACUUAGGGGGAUAGGUGUAUAGCUUGAUCUGUCUUUCCUGGUAGUUAAAACUCAAUAACUCCUCGUCUCUUUGGUUUUAAUUCCUUUGUAAAUAAUAAAUAAUAAGAUUUUGGGUUGGAUUUUUGUCUUUGAAUUA